This 218-nucleotide unclassified non-coding RNA is filed under the name uncultured fungus. RNAcentral's name for it is "sequence contains ITS1". Lineage: Eukaryota; Fungi. The record is from RNAcentral.
GUAUAAGAUGCGUUUUAUAGCAUUGAUACCAUUCUAAAGACAUACGAAGAGUUUGUGAGAAGACGCGGCUCGGAAGGGGUCAAAAGAACCCGACCGACCCACGCGAGUGUGCACAGGUGUGAGAUGGAUAUGAACAAGGCGAGCACAUGCCCCGAGAGGCCAGCUUCAACCUUGCACGAUAUUCGUUAAUGAUCCUUCCGCAGGUUCACCUACGGAAA